Molecule: ribosomal RNA, 253 nt
Filed under: uncultured bacterium
Lineage: Bacteria
Description: partial 16S ribosomal RNA
Rfam family: Bacterial small subunit ribosomal RNA
Source: RNAcentral
UACGAGAGGCCCAAACGUUAUUCGGAAUUACUGGGCUUAAAGAGUUCGUAGGCGGCGCAGCAAGUCGGGUGUGAAAGCCCUCGGCUCAACCGAGGAAUUGCGCUCUAAACUACUGUGCUUGAGGAAUCUAGAGGUGAGCGGAACUGAUGGUGGAGCGGUGAAAUGCGUUGAUAUCAUCAGGAACACCGGAGGCGAAGGCGGCUCACUGGGGAUUUUCUGACGCUGAGGAACGAAAGCCAGGGGAGCGAACGGG